UACGUAGGGGGCAAGCGUUGUCCGGAUUUAUUGGGCGUAAAGAGCGUGUAGGCGGCUAGGUAGGUCCGUUGUGAAAACUCGAGGCUCAACCUCGAGACGCCGGUGGAAACCAUCUAGCUAGAGUCCGGAAGAGGAGAAUGGAAUUCCCGGUGUAGCGGUGAAAUGCGCAGAUAUCGGGAAGAACACCCGUGGCGAAGGCGGUUCUCUGGGACGGUACUGACGCUGAGACGCGCAAGCGUGGGGAGCGAACAGG
RNAcentral lists this ribosomal RNA (253 nucleotides) under uncultured bacterium. RNAcentral describes it as "partial 16S ribosomal RNA". It matches the Rfam family "Bacterial small subunit ribosomal RNA", at positions 524 to 776 of the family's 1533-position model. The record is from RNAcentral.